Molecule: long non-coding RNA, 1596 nt
Organism: Hypomesus transpacificus
Lineage: Eukaryota; Metazoa; Chordata; Actinopteri; Osmeriformes; Osmeridae
Exons: 2
Source: RefSeq, a predicted model, not a curated record
GCGAAGGGGUGGUCGGGAGACAACAGGGAGGAGGGGAAGGGAGCAGGGGAGGAGAGGGAGGGUGUGGGGAUAGGGACAAAGAGACAGAUUAAGGACUAAGUAACAACCAACUGAUUUUGAAUCUGGACAGGAUGAAGGAGAGUAAGAUUAGGGAGCGAGAGAGAGAAAUAGGGACGUAUAUAGCAAUGACAGUAAACUGUUCUGAAACACAAGGAUCGAAACCUGUUUGGACACGCUCCCAGGACAUGUCCUUUAUGCCCGGGACAGGAAAGGAGAGGAGGAGAGGAAAACUGAGCAGGAGAAGAGUGAUGAGAUGAGGACAGGAGAGGCCUACAGCAGAAGUCUACAGGAAAUUCACUUCACUUGAAUGUGCUUAUGCAAACAUUCAGAUGUUUGCCAGACGGCACAUCCUUGUGGCCAUGCGUUUCUGUGUAUUUUAGUGUGUCUGCUAAUGACUGAAAUAGCCACCGCACACACAUAGAACCAGACUCACACACACACACACACAUACCCUCUAACCGCAGAGACUAAUGGGGAUUAAUAAAGCUAAAGAAAAGAGACCCCCUACCAAAUGGAUUUCAUUAAGCAACUCGCCAAGCUAACAAAAUAGUAAUCGAUUGUUUAUAAUAAUUUAAGAAAUACCAAGAUUGUUCAGUUUUUGUCUUUAGAACCUGUGCUGUGAUUUAUUGUGCCUGUACUGUGUUUGGCUGUGUAUAUGUGUGCCUAAUCCCUCCACACAAACACACCUGCUCAACCACAAUAUAACACUCUAACACCACUGCGCAGAACCCAGUUACAGACAAGUGCAGUAAAAACAAAGGUAGGAGUUUGAGAGGGAGGUGAACAUAAAGACUAGGGGGGAGAAAAGGAGUGAGUUAUAGAUAUGACAAAGGGCAGAAAGGGGUUUGAUGACAGUUACACGGAAGGAUUGCAUUAGUUCAGACAUGGCAGGGGAAGUUGUUGGCAUGACUAUAUGUUUAUGAUGUCUAAUUGGUAGCGCCUGUUUACAUUGAGGGUCAAAGCUGUUUCCUCCCACUUUAGAUCGCGCGCGAACCUUCCUCGUUCACCAUGGGAACUGGCAGCUGUGUCCGGGUGCCACUUUGACCAUUGGCCGCGCGCGUAUUACGCAUGGGGAGCUGUGAGAAUACCGGUGCUUGCCAAAACAAGCACCAUCCUUAUUAACACAGUAUGUCUCUAAAGCAGGACUUGGCACGUAACACCACAAGUGUCCCGACUAAACGUAGCUACAUCUUUUCAGACAACGGAAAAUGAAAAUAGGCCACUUAUCUUUACAAUGGCUACUUCCCGUACUACUAUUUAACGGAAGCAGUAGGAUGUGUUGACUACUCGACAAAUAUAUAUUGGCUAAUCAAUGAUGUAGCCUACAUUAAAAUAAUAAAUGAGCAACAAAAUGUAUUUAAUGUGUGUCGUGUCAUGUCAUGUGUAGGCAGUGUUAGACCUACUUCCUCAAAGAAAUAUAUUAUUUGAUAAUAAAUACAAAUCUAAACUUACUUUUGUCUCUGAAAGUUGUACCUCUGAUUAUGUUUUUUUCUUCUCUUCUUUAAAUAUAUCUUCCUCUGAGGUAGGUUGAUGGUC